RNAcentral lists this ribosomal RNA (411 nucleotides) under Macaca hecki (Heck's macaque). RNAcentral describes it as "partial 12S ribosomal RNA". It matches the Rfam family "Bacterial small subunit ribosomal RNA", at positions 925 to 1522 of the family's 1533-position model. The record is from RNAcentral. Lineage: Eukaryota; Metazoa; Chordata; Mammalia; Primates; Cercopithecidae.
CCCUAGAGGAGCCUGUUCCAUAAUCGAUAAACCCCGAUCCACCUCACCCUCCCUUGCUUAGCCUAUAUACCGCCAUCUUCAGCAAACCCUGAUAAAGGUUACAAAGUGAGCACAAACGCCCUACCGCCGCAAAAACGUUAGGUCAAGGUGUAGCCCAUGAGAGGGUAAAAAUGGGCUACAUUUUCUACAUCAGAAAACUCCACGAAAACUCUCAUGAAAUCUGAGGGUCCAAGGAGGAUUUAGCAGUAAAUUAAGAAUAGAGUGCUUAAUUGAACCAGGCCAUAAAGCGCGUACACACCGCCCGUCACUCCCCUCAAAUAUAUUUAAGGAACACCUUAACUAAAAGCCCUAAUAUUUAUAUAGAGGGGAUAAGUCGUAACAUGGUAAGUGUACUGGAAGGUGCACUUGGAC